UGAGGAACAUGACCUUCGGCGGGGGAGUAGCCGGCCCAACGGCCGGGUAAUACCGCGUACGACCACUUUGGGACAUCCCUAGGUGGUGAAAGCAGCAAUGCGCCGAUGGAGUGCCUCGCGGCCUAUCAGCUAGUUGGUGAGGUAACGGCUCACCAAGGCGACGACGGGUAGCUGGUCUGAGAGGAUGGCCAGCCACAUUGGGACUGAGACACGGCCCAGACCUCCUACGGGAGCAG
Molecule: ribosomal RNA, 236 nt
Filed under: uncultured bacterium
Lineage: Bacteria
Description: partial 16S ribosomal RNA
Rfam family: Bacterial small subunit ribosomal RNA
Source: RNAcentral